CAAUAACGUAUAUUAAAGUUGUUGCAGUUAAAAAGCUCGUAGUUGGAUUUGUGGCGUACGGUGUGUUCCGGGCACUUGUUGUCUGAGUAACCUGCUGUUGCCAUCCUUGGGUGGAACCUGUGUGGCAUUAGGUUGUCGUGCAGGGGAUGCCCAUCAUUUACUGUGAAAAAAUUAGAGUGUUCAAAGCAGGCUUAUGCCGUUGAAUAUAUUAGCAUGGAAUAAUGAGAUAGGACUUUUUUGCUAUUUUGUUGGUUUGCGCAAAGAGGUAAUGAUUAAUAGGGACAGUUGGGGGUAUUCGUAUUCCAUUGUCAGAGGUGAAAUUCUUGGAUUUUUGGAAGACGAACUACUGCGAAAGCAUUUACCAAGGAUGUUUUCAUUAA
This 380-nucleotide ribosomal RNA is filed under the name uncultured eukaryote. Its description in RNAcentral is "partial 18S ribosomal RNA". It matches the Rfam family "Eukaryotic small subunit ribosomal RNA", at positions 592 to 976 of the family's 1831-position model. The record is from RNAcentral.